GAUGAACGCUGGCGGCGUGCCUAAUACAUGCAAGUCGAACGCACAGCGAAAGGUGCUUGCACCUUUCAAGUGAGUGGCGAACGGGUGAGUAACACGUGGACAACCUGCCUCAAGGCUGGGGAUAACAUUUGGAAACAGAUGCUAAUACCGAAUAAAACUUAGUGUCGCAUGACACAAAGUUAAAAGGCGCUUUGGCGUCACCUAGAGAUGGAUCCGCGGUGCAUUAGUUAGUUGGUGGGGUAAAGGCCUACCAAGACAAUGAUGCAUAGCCGAGUUGAGAGACUGAUCGGCCACAUUGGGACUGAGACACGGCCCAAACUCCUACGGGAGGCUGCAGUAGGGAAUCUUCCACAAUGGGCGAAAGCCUGAUGGAGCAACGCCGCGUGUGUGAUGAAGGCUUUCGGGUCGUAAAGCACUGUUGUAUGGGAAGAACAGCUAGAAUAGGGAAUGAUUUUAGUUUGACGGUACCAUACCAGAAAGGGACGG
Molecule: ribosomal RNA, 486 nt
Filed under: Leuconostoc pseudomesenteroides
Lineage: Bacteria; Bacillati; Bacillota; Bacilli; Lactobacillales; Lactobacillaceae
Description: bacterial SSU rRNA
Rfam family: Bacterial small subunit ribosomal RNA
Source: RNAcentral